GCCUGCGUAGCUCAGCAGGUAGAGCAUUUCCUUGGUAAGGAAAAGGUCUCCGGUUCAAAUCCGGUCGUAGGCU
RNAcentral lists this transfer RNA (73 nucleotides) under Chlorokybus atmophyticus. Its description in RNAcentral is "tRNA-Thr (GGT) (tRNA-Thr-GGT-1-1, tRNA-Thr-GGT-1-2)". It matches the Rfam family "tRNA". Rfam says of the family: Transfer RNA (tRNA) molecules are approximately 80 nucleotides in length. Lineage: Eukaryota; Viridiplantae; Streptophyta; Chlorokybophyceae; Chlorokybales; Chlorokybaceae. The record is from RNAcentral.